Molecule: non-coding RNA, 83 nt
Organism: Cricetulus griseus (Chinese hamster)
Lineage: Eukaryota; Metazoa; Chordata; Mammalia; Rodentia; Cricetidae
Source: Rfam
ACCAGGAUGGCCCAGUGGUUAAGGCGUUGGACUUAGGAUCCAAUAGACAUAUGUCUGCGUACGUUCGAACCCCACUCCUGGUA